Molecule: ribosomal RNA, 624 nt
Filed under: uncultured Anaerolineaceae bacterium
Lineage: Bacteria; Bacillati; Chloroflexota; Anaerolineae; Anaerolineales; Anaerolineaceae
Description: bacterial SSU rRNA
Rfam family: Bacterial small subunit ribosomal RNA
Source: RNAcentral
AAACUUAAAGGAAUUGACGGGGGCCCGCACAAGCAGCGGAGCGUGUGGUUUAAUUCGAGGCUACACGAAGAACCUUACCUGGGUUUGACAUCACGGUGGUAGGGAACCGAAAGGGGACCGACCGCAAGGAGCCGUGACAGGUGCUGCAUGGCUGUCGUCAGCUCGUGUCGUGAGAUGUUCGGUUAAGUCCGAAAACGAGCGCAACCCUCGGGGGAAGUUACACGUGUCUGACCCGACUGCCUGCGAGAAGCAGGAGGAAGGUGGGGAUGACGUCAAGUCAGCAUGGCCUUUAUAUCCAGGGCUACACACACGCUACAAUGGGCAGUACAGUGGGAAGCGAAGCCGCGAGGCGGAGCGGAUCCAAAAAGCUGUUCUAAGUUCGGAUUGCAGGCUGCAACUCGCCUGCAUGAAGCUGGAGUUGCUAGUAACCGCAGGUCAGCGAUACUGCGGUGAAUACGUUCCCGGGCCUUGUACACACCGCCCGUCACGUCAUGGGAGCUGGUCACGCCUGAAGCCGAUGAGCGAACCGCAAGGGAGCAGUCGUCGAAGGCAGGGCUGGUGACUGGGACGAAGUCGUAACAAGGUAGCUGUAGCGGAAGCUGCGGCUGGAUCACCUCCUUUAUG